CCUACGGGUAGCAGCAGUGGGGAAUAUUGGACAAUGGGCGAAAGCCUGAUCCAGCCAUGCCGCGUGUGUGAAGAAGGCCUUCGGGUUGUAAAGCACUUUCAGUGGGGAAGAAAGCCUUGGGGCUAAUACCCUCGAGGAAGGACAUCACCCACAGAAGAAGCACCGGCUAACUCCGUGCCAGCAGCCGCGGUAAUACGGAGGGUGCGAGCGUUAAUCGGAAUUACUGGGCGUAAAGCGCGCGUAGGCGGUCUGAUAAGCCGGUUGUGAAAGCCCCGGGCUCAACCUGGGAACGGCAUCCGGAACUGUCAGGCUAGAGUGCAGGAGAGGAAGGUAGAAUUCCCGGUGUAGCGGUGAAAUGCGUAGAGAUCGGGAGGAAUACCAGUGGCGAAGGCGGCCUUCUGGACUGACACUGACGCUGAGGUGCGAAAGCGUGGGUAGCAAACAGGAUUAGCUACCCGAGUAGUC
This 465-nucleotide ribosomal RNA is filed under the name Vreelandella stevensii. RNAcentral's name for it is "partial 16S ribosomal RNA". It matches the Rfam family "Bacterial small subunit ribosomal RNA", at positions 338 to 795 of the family's 1533-position model. Lineage: Bacteria; Pseudomonadati; Pseudomonadota; Gammaproteobacteria; Oceanospirillales; Halomonadaceae. The record is from RNAcentral.